GGUGCUGAAGUCAAAAACUAAGGAGCUACCCAUCUGACAGCUUGCAUAUUCUCGGAGAGGCCACCUGGGAGGAAAGAGGGGAACAUGCAGGCUGGGGAGGAAGAGAGGAGCCACGUGUCCCAAGCGAAGCACUUGAGUUCCAUCUCACAGGCUGUCUGAGGUCCGAGGUGGCAUUUGGGCAGGGAGGAGAUCAGUUUAUAAAAGGUUCACGUGGGGGACAGAAGGGAAGACAGCGUGGUUAGAGAGAGAGAAGAGUUUCAGGUUAGAGGAGCUAGGAGAGGGGACAGUAGUUAUGAGAGAAGAUGGUGACAAACUAGACAGGGAGAAUGAUUGAUGUGAGGAAAAACUAGACUCGAGAGACAGCUGAGCAGUAGUAUUUUAGGUUUCAGAGUCGGCCCUCCUGUUGUCACCAUGGGUCACUGCUGAUGAGGAGCUGAACUGAAUGGAGCAUUUGGUAUUUUCCCUUGGAAACAAGGCUGCAGUGAUAGUUGGAUUGUGUCAACUUGAGUAAGAAACUGCCAGCUAAACUGGAUCAGUGCAGUUGUGAGUGAGGCUGAGGGCAUUAUGGAGGACAGGAGAGCCACGCUAGGCUGGCUUGUCACCUGAGUGGUACAAAAGCGAAACGAGGGAGGAAGGCUCGCUUCUGUUUCUUUGGAGGAGCUCCAGUCUUUGCCUUCCCCUCGGACGUCAUCUCCUGGCUUCCGGUGCAGACUCUCUGGCCUCCUGAUAGGGACUCGCACGGGACACUGCAGGGAGCUCCAGGCCUUCAGCUGGACCUUUCAGAUCCCCAGUGCACAGACGGACCUUUUGCACUCUUCGACCCCCGACUCUGUGUUCGGCCACUACAAGGUCCUGCUAUGUUUCCAGCUGGCCUCAAACUCCAAGAUGGCCUUGAACUCUGCUCAGUCAUCCCAUCUCAGUUUCCUGAGUGCUGAGAUUACAGGAGGUACUUGUCUUACCUUCAUUUCCCAGACAAGAGCAUGGAGGUCCCCAGACAUGAAGAGACUGCCCCUGAAUCACACAUGGGUGCUAAGCAGCACUGGAAGGAAAGACAACCUUUGUAACAGCAGCACUCCUCACCUGUUAUCCAGCGCUUUCUCCUUCAGGAGGCUUGGGGUAAAGUGGAACAGCAUUGAAGAGAUUGGCCAACCAUGAAAAAAAUGGAUGAAGAAACUGUAUUUUCAAGCAAAUAAUUAUUCUGUUUAGAAGGUCAUGUGGAGAAAGUGGGAGACAGAAAUGAGGACUCACAUUUCCAUCCCCAGGGGCUAUUUGCCUGCGAGUGCCCAGUUGUUCCACACCAUUUGUUGUAAAGAUUAUCCUUUCUCCACUCAGUUGCCUUUGCACCCUUGUCAAAAAUCACUUGACUGUACAUGUGUGAGUUUAUGUUUGGACUCUGUUUCAUUGAUCUGGUUUUCCAUCCUGACACCAAUACUACAGUUUUGAUUAUUGUCACUUUGUAAUAAAUUUUGAAAUAGAAAACUGCAAGUCCUCUGUGUUUUCUUUCAAAGCUGUGUUAUUUGGAGACAGAGUCUCACUAAGUUGCUAAGUUGCACAAGCUGGGUUUGAACUUGUGAUUUCCUCUAUAUUAGACUCCAGGGAUGCUGGGAUUACAGGCUUACACCACCAUGUCUAGCUGGUCCUUUGCAUUUAUGUAUGAAUUUCACAAUCAGAUCAUUGAUGCGUACAGAAAGAGAAACUUGCUGAUAUUUUGAUUACAUUGAAUCUAUAGAUAAAUUGCAAAAG
RNAcentral lists this long non-coding RNA (1743 nucleotides) under Heterocephalus glaber (naked mole-rat). RNAcentral's name for it is "lncRNA (ENSHGLG00100033521.1)". The record is from RNAcentral. Lineage: Eukaryota; Metazoa; Chordata; Mammalia; Rodentia; Bathyergidae.